UGGGGAAUAUUGGACAAUGGGCGAAAGCCUGAUCCAGCCAUGCCGCGUGUGUGAAGAAGGUCUUCGGAUUGUAAAGCACUUUAAGUUGGGAGGAAGGGCAUUAACCUAAUACGUUAGUGUUUUGACGUUACCGACAGAAUAAGCACCGGCUAACUCUGUGCCAGCAGCCGCGGUAAUACAGAGGGGGCAAGCGUUAAUCGGAAUUACUGGGCGUAAAGCGCGCGUAGGUUGUUUGUUAAGUUCGAUGUGAAAUCCCCGGGCUCAACCUGGGAACUGCAUUCAAAACUGACUGACUAGAGUAUGGUAGAGGGUGGUGGAAUUUCCUGUGUAGCGGUGAAAUGCGUAGAUAUAGGAAGGAACACCAGUGGCGAAGGCGACCACCUGGACUAAUACUGACACUGAGGUGCGAAAGCGUGGGGAGCAAACA
This 427-nucleotide ribosomal RNA is filed under the name uncultured bacterium. RNAcentral describes it as "partial 16S ribosomal RNA". It matches the Rfam family "Bacterial small subunit ribosomal RNA", at positions 355 to 774 of the family's 1533-position model. The record is from RNAcentral.